GUCUAUGGCCAUGCCACCCUGAACACGCCCAAUCUCCUCUGAUCUCAGAAGCUAAGCAUGGUUGGGCCUGGUUAGUACUUGGAUGGGAUAGUGUCCAUAUGUUCUUGACU
This 110-nucleotide ribosomal RNA is filed under the name Octodon degus (degu). The record is from RNAcentral. Lineage: Eukaryota; Metazoa; Chordata; Mammalia; Rodentia; Octodontidae.